Molecule: unclassified non-coding RNA, 394 nt
Filed under: uncultured Tilletiopsis
Lineage: Eukaryota; Fungi; Basidiomycota; Exobasidiomycetes
Also listed under: 1 other name
Description: sequence contains ITS1
Rfam family: 5.8S ribosomal RNA (bases 1-105)
Source: RNAcentral
GAAAUGCGAUAAGUAAUGUGAAUUGCAGAAUUCAGUGAAUCAUCGAAUCUUUGAACGCACCUUGCGCUCGUUGGUAUUCCGACGAGCAUGCCUGUUUGAGUGUCAUGAAUUCUCCACCCCCAUGUCUUUUGUCACCAAAGGACGUGCUUGGGGCGGGUCCAUGGGCAUCUUUGCCAGUCUUCGGACAGGCUUGCCUUAAAAGUAUUAGCUGGACUGCAUCUGCGAUGCAUUGGUUCUACUCAACGUGAUAAGUUCAUUCGUUGAGGACGGCUUCACGGCCGGCCAAGCUACAAUGCGAUCAAUAGUCUGCUUCUAACCCGGCGCGGAGUGCCUGCACUCCAACCCAACUUAACGCUCUGGCCUCAAAUCAGGUAGGAUUACCCGCUGAACUUAA